This 110-nucleotide small RNA is filed under the name uncultured Symbiodinium. RNAcentral describes it as "partial transfer-messenger RNA". Lineage: Eukaryota; Dinophyceae; Suessiales; Symbiodiniaceae. The record is from RNAcentral.
UGCAACAAAACAAUAAAUGCUAAUAACAAAACGCGAAGAAGUAACAAAGCAAGGUUUCUGUAAAAUACUCUGCAGAAAACUCCGUCCUCGGGAGGCUGGGCGCUUAUUAA